GACCAACACUUCUCAAAGUAUGCAGCACACCGACAAAAUCAAGUGUUUAUCAUCGUGCUUAACAAAAUUGGAUGCACACACAAGUUGACUAUGUAUCUCAUUUCUAUGAUUCUAAAUGAUUAAUGAGACAUCAGCAUACUCUUGAACGGUGUAAGUGGCAAGCAUGCUCAGACUGAGCAGUUUCUUAAGAGAAUGUACCUCAUGAUUGCACAUUGUAACACACGGUCUCAACUCUUAAAAACAGCAAAAUCGAAGGCAGCACCCAAGCUGAUGGAGACAGCAGCUUCAUCAUGCAAACUAUGGUUUACAUGUAAGGAAGGAACAUUUCAUAUAUACCGGGUAAAGGGUGAGGUUAAAUUGCCAACUACCAAGUAAAAUUUUAGCACUACUCGGACUUGUUUAUCUAAAAAUAGAGCGUUCAAGUUCAGCUAGGAGGCCAAUCUAAUAUGUCCUUACUCCUUUACACAAACUUUACCCCUGAGUAUUGCUGUUCAAAAUACUGCACGCAUUAAAUUAAGUGAACUGGUAUGUUUAUGUAACCAUAACACUCUUACCAUAAGUGAACUGGUAUGUUUCUGGAUUGGAAUUUGAUAGUAUGCCUAAAGCAAAUCUUGCUUGUUGGUAAAAUGUGAUUGCAGAUUGAAAAUCUGAUCUCGCUUCAUAAACGAAUCUAUUUAUAUUGUGAGACUCUGGGUAAUGAGGUGACAAUAAACCAUGUAUAACUUGGAGCUAAGAAAAUUUGACAACCGGAAACCUGGAGAGGGCCAGAGGGGGGG
Panicum virgatum (switchgrass) is the source of this 776-nucleotide long non-coding RNA. RefSeq lists it as uncharacterized. The record is from RefSeq and is a predicted model, not a curated record. The transcript has 2 exons. Lineage: Eukaryota; Viridiplantae; Streptophyta; Magnoliopsida; Poales; Poaceae.